Molecule: long non-coding RNA, 2070 nt
Organism: Ruditapes philippinarum (Manila clam)
Lineage: Eukaryota; Metazoa; Mollusca; Bivalvia; Venerida; Veneridae
Exons: 3
Source: RefSeq, a predicted model, not a curated record
CAAAUUAUAUGCAUGCUUUACAUUCCAUCACCAGAGAGAGGCUAACAGGGCAUGAAUGUAAACAAAUAAUGUCUGACCUGAUAAGCCCUAGCGUGUUAAACCUCAUUUUUGUUGUUGUGUUCCACUAUGUGAUUCCAAUUCUAGAUAUGAUUAUACGGUUAUUUUUUUAUAAAAAUACCUGAGGAUGUGAGUUUAAUAAGUGCAGGGAUUGUGAAAAUAAAAAGGAAUGAAUGAGAACAUUUCAAGAUCAAUACAUGACAACAGUUGCUCGUUUUGAAGCAUUUCACACAAUAAGAUUAAAGAUAAUGGACACCAAUUCGAAAAAAUCUGAAGAUAAUAGAUGUACUUUCUUGGUUUGACUAGAGAAGUUAUGAACACAACAGUAUGAUGUCCACUAGAGAAGAUUUUGCCAGAUGAGAGGAAUUCGUUUGAUAACAGUCAUGAACACAAAUUGACAACUGGUAUUUGAAUCGCCUUAAGUUGUAAUAUCUCUUCAUGGCAAAUGCAUAACAGAUGAAAAAGAAACUAAAAAGAGUUCAAAGAAGAAUUACAGAAAACUUAGGAAGAAAACAAACAGUGAUAUUGAACAUUUGAUACAAAUGUCAAUGUGAUAUUGAACGUUUGAUACAAAUAAAUUUUCAAAUGAUGACAGUUGUAUAUCUUGUUAUACCGGAUUUCCAACAUAUAUAUAUUCAUUACAGUUUCAAUGUUAUAAAACAUCAGCAAAAACAUUAAAAGUGUUUAUUAUGAAGCAAGCAAAACAAUCAGCUUGACUGGUAGAAAGAGAGGGAUGUUGCAAGCUGACGAAAUGUUUUUUAGCAUAUUUUAAAGGACCAUUUGUUUAGUCUUUUGUGUCUUACAUUAAAAUAAAUAAUUAAAAAGAAAUCAUCGCAUUACUUUGUUUUUAACAUUGUGCUUUGUUGCAUAUAUGGUCCAGCUGCAGGGAAUAUGUCAACAUGUUAAUUACAUAUUUUGUCCUCUUAUUGCAUUAUAUACUGUUGAGUGAAUUUGUCUUGGAAUGUUAAAAGAAGUGCUGAAACUCGAUGCUGCCUUACCUAAUACGACUGCAAGGUCCUGCAUAAGUUUUCCGCAAAUGUUUAAUCCCCUAAGUACAUGGAAUGUAUUGGGUUGGUUAGUCCAGCCAUAAUCUUCUAGAAGUGCCGUGUAUCCUAAUAAUUUGUUAUAUACCAGCUAGUACAGGCUUCCAACAAUAUGACCACAUAAUCAAGUCGGACCAACUGGACAAGUGCAAUAAGCUAAUGAUACCUCAGCUUCGUCUUAAGAUUUGACUGAUAUUUGCAAUUAAAUGACUGUAAUUCGUUAUAUACUAAGUAUUUCAUACUGUAAUUAAUUUAAAUAGUUGAUAACAUAUAAGUUUUACGUUCUUUACUUAGCUUGAAAUGUAUUUUUACAUUGCUGUAAACAACAUCAUGUGUUAAGAUACUGACAAUCCAUUGAAAUGUAUAAGACGGGAAUGUGGUGUCAUAUCUAAACAAAAUAUUAUUUUGAUUUGAUAAGGCUGUCUGUAAAAUUAACCAGUUAAGUACUAGACAGUCAUCCAGAUUUUUUUACUUUUAAAUACAAAGUGAAUAAAACUUGUUUUUUUUAUUUCAAUAGCUAAAUUUAGGAGAAGUAUGGUACAGAAUUCAGCAUCCAGCUGUUUACAUCUAUUAUCAGUUAAUUGCUUUAUACAUUCUUGACCAACAUGUUUUUAGGUUAGCAAUAAAAUACUGAUAACACAGAUAAUGUUUGUAUAAGUUGCAAAGAGUUAACAUGAUAUUUAUUCUGACACGGAAUAUUAGAAAUUGCUUGGAAUUAUCAUAAACAUUAAUUCACUUUUCAGGUCUUGAAUACAUGUAUAUCCUUCACUGUAUAUAGCAUAAAUUAAACCCUGUUGUUGAUUUAUUUAUCUCCAGAAGAGAUUUUUGUAAUGUUAAAUAAAGUUCUCAACAAGUAUGUAGUAAAUGGUACAAUAUGAAGAUCUCUGCCACUGUAGGAAAAUCUUUCGGCCAUAUAUUCGUCAUACGUUUACAUAGAGCAGAUAUUAAAGCUUGCCCUGUUAGCCUCGUU